This 88-nucleotide microRNA precursor is filed under the name Medicago truncatula (barrel medic). Its description in RNAcentral is "MIR2617 microRNA precursor family". It matches the Rfam family "MIR2617 microRNA precursor family". Lineage: Eukaryota; Viridiplantae; Streptophyta; Magnoliopsida; Fabales; Fabaceae. The record is from Rfam by way of RNAcentral.
AUGUAGUGUGACAUGCCCGUUGGGUUUUACUCUAAUGUUGAAUUAAUUAUUAUUUAAUUACUUUUGGGUAACGGGGUGUUACAUUGAG